RNAcentral lists this long non-coding RNA (489 nucleotides) under Mus musculus (house mouse). RNAcentral's name for it is "predicted gene, 48421". The record is from RNAcentral. Lineage: Eukaryota; Metazoa; Chordata; Mammalia; Rodentia; Muridae.
GCAGUACUUAAAGGACUUGGGAGAGAGAAAGAUGAAAGAGAAAGAACUGCCAUUGAGAGGGGCGUAGGUAGGACUAGCCUCGUCAGAAAUUCUGAAGUCUACUGAAAUAGACCAAAAGGGACCUAUGGAUAUAGAAUUUUGCAUUACAGUAUACAGCAACAGACCAAACUUCAACACCAGAGGGAAGAUUGGUGUCUGUAAAGUCAUCAUCAGAGGCUUUCUCUGGCAGCAGAUGGUAACAGUCAGAGAGACUCAGAGUCAACCAGAGGACACAAAGAGAACAUGGCCCGGCAAAGUGAUGCUUCUCCCCUAUUAAUCAGGGCUCACAUGGGCUCAUGGUGACUGAAACAGCAAACACAGUGCUUGUAUGUGUCUACACCAGGUUCUCUGCAUAUAUGAAAUGGCUGCUAACUUGGUAUUCUUGUGGGAUUCAUAACAAUGGGAACAUGUGUGUCUCUGUCUCUUUUGCCUGUUUUUAAGACUUUUUUC